This is a non-coding RNA of Pan troglodytes (chimpanzee), 148 nucleotides long. It matches the Rfam family "Metazoan signal recognition particle RNA". Rfam says of the family: The signal recognition particle (SRP) is a universally conserved ribonucleoprotein. It is involved in the co-translational targeting of proteins to membranes. The record is from Rfam. NCBI's taxonomy places the organism in Eukaryota, Metazoa, Chordata, Mammalia, Primates, Hominidae.
GCUGGGCAUGGUGGUGUGUGCCUAUAGUCCCAGCUACUUGGGAGGCUGAGGCAGGAGAAUCGCUUGAACCCAGGAGGUGGAGGUUGCAGUGAGCCAAGAUCAUGCCACUGCACUCCAGCCUGGGUGACAGAGCGAGACUCUGUCUCAA